AGGGAUAUAGCUCAGUGGUAAAGCAUAUGCUUAGCAUGCACAAGGUCCUGGGUUCAAUCCCCAGUAACUCCA
Molecule: transfer RNA, 72 nt
Filed under: Camelus bactrianus (Bactrian camel)
Lineage: Eukaryota; Metazoa; Chordata; Mammalia; Artiodactyla; Camelidae
Also listed under: 1 other name
Rfam family: tRNA
About the family: Transfer RNA (tRNA) molecules are approximately 80 nucleotides in length. Their secondary structure includes four short double-helical elements and three loops (D, anti-codon, and T loops).
Source: Rfam by way of RNAcentral